CACCAGCGCCACGAGUGGCAACCACGUUUAUUGGGCCUAAAGCGUCCGUAGCCGGCUUCGUAAAUCUCUUGUGAAAUCGUCAGGCCUAACCUGACGGCGCGCUCGAGACACUGCGUGGCUAGAGACCGGGAGGGGUCAGAGGUAUUCCUGAGGGAGCGGUAAAAUGUGAUAAUCUCAGGAGGAUCACCUAUGGCGAAGGCAUCUGACCAGAACGGUUCUGACGGUGAGGGACGAAGGCUAGGGGAGCGAU
RNAcentral lists this ribosomal RNA (250 nucleotides) under uncultured Candidatus Woesearchaeota archaeon. RNAcentral describes it as "partial 16S ribosomal RNA". It matches the Rfam family "Archaeal small subunit ribosomal RNA", at positions 474 to 723 of the family's 1478-position model. The record is from RNAcentral. Lineage: Archaea; Nanobdellati; Candidatus Woesearchaeota.